This 600-nucleotide ribosomal RNA is filed under the name uncultured bacterium. Its description in RNAcentral is "bacterial SSU rRNA". It matches the Rfam family "Bacterial small subunit ribosomal RNA", at positions 99 to 698 of the family's 1533-position model. The record is from RNAcentral.
CGAACGGGUGAGUAUACAUCGGAACAUACCAGUAGUGGGGGAUACCAGUCGAAAGACUGGCUAAUACCGCAUACGACCUACGGGUGAAAGCGGGGGACCGCAAGGCCUCGCGCUAUUGGAUUGGCCGAUGUCCGAUUAGCUAGUUGGCGGGGUAAAAGCCCACCGAGGGCGACGAUCGGUACUGGUCUGAGAGGAUGAUCAGCCACACUGGGACUGAGACACGGCCCAGAACUCCUACGGGAGGCAGCAGUGGGGAAUUUUGGACAAUGGGCGCAAGCCUGAUCCAGCCAUGCCGCGUGUGUGAGGAAGGCCUUCGGGUUGUAAAGUACUUUCAGCGGGGAGGAAGGUGUUGUGGUUAAUAACCACAGCAAUUGACGUUACCCGCAGAAGAAGCACCGGCUAACUCCGUGCCACAGCCGCGGUAAUACGGAGGGUGCAAGCGUUAAUCGGAAUUACUGGGCGUAAAGCGCACGCAGGCGGUCUGUCAGGGUCGGAUGUGAAAUCCCCGGGCUCAACCUGGGAACUGCAUUCGAAACUGGCAGGCUAAAGUCUUGUAAGGGGGGUAGAAUUCCAAGUGUAGCGGUGAAAUGACGUAAGAUC